GUCAUGCUCGUCCAUCAGGCUGUACCUGAACAAAACUGUGCAACUGACUGUGAAUUCCUCAGCCAGAAUCAGCCAGGCUUGCUGGGACUCGUCUGCGGGGUCAUCAAGAAGUUCUUAAGUACAAUGAUUCUGACUGGACCCAAAGGAUAACGCAGUUGAGAAAUGGACGCAGAGGUCCAGAUUGACACCACGCCACUCCCUGGAGUGUAACAGAUGAGAGAGAAAAAUCAAUGCAGUAGCUACAGCAGCUAGGAGAAUUCACAGCGUAGUCAAGGGAGAUGAUGCUUCCGGGCUUUGAGGCGUUUGCGCUCCUGUUGCUGUUGGUUCUCCUUGGUGUGCAGCUCCUUGAGGUAUUCCGUGGCGUGGGUCAGAAUGGCAACCUUGGGGGUCUUGGUGGAUUCAAGACCUGGGAUCUGAUCUCGGAGGGCCAAGAACCUGGACUUGAGGUCGUUCCUCCUCUUCCUCUCCAGGUAGUUGUGGUUCUUCCUGCGGUCUACGUCCUCCAUGUCAGAGUUCAAGGAGCUUCCCGAAGGUGAGAUCGGACGACUGGACGCCGGGCUCGUACGCUUGCUUUGGAACUCCUCCAGGUCAUCCUCAUCUUCAUCAUCAUCAUCAUCGUCGUGAGCGUCGGGCUUGGUGUCGGGGGAGCGGGCUGCAUAGUUGUGCUGCUGCUGGUGAACCAAGGCGUGGAAGCUUUUAGGGAAGGGGUCCGCAGGCACUGUGAGGUUCACUGGCUUGUGGACACUCGCCAGUUGGGCCUGGUUGUGUUUGCUCUCCACCGUGACAACAUCAAUUUCUUCUUCUUCUUCUUCGUCUUCUUCUUCUUCUUCUGUAAAUAAUACACAAAAACAACUUUUAGGGGAAAGAAAAAUCAAUAAUUAACAGACCUUUUUUCACACAUUGACAAAAAAUCCACAACAAAUAACAUCUGUUUUUAUCUCUCUAUGCCAAUGACGUGUAGUGAGAGGCAUAACAAUUAAAUAGUCUUCCACUAAAUGUCAGUAAAAGUAACUUGUACAUCUAACUAAUGACACAAACAACAAAGAAUUGGCUAAUCGUGUGUUGUAGGCAAGACCACACCAACCGAGACCAAGAUGUUAGUUAGGGAGACUAGAGAAUUGAAACUGGGAUAAGACUUUUGGGUGUUGAGAUUGAGACUAGGGCGUCUACAAAAAAAAUAAAAAACCAUUUGCAACAAAAACAAAUACAACAACUGAAGUUUGUGCUUAGUGCACACAAGCAUCAAAUUAUAGAAGCCAUUGAAACACAUCAUACAUUACUCAGUGAGCUACUUUCUCUUUGAAGUGAUUUCUCUUUUAAAUGGUCUUUGACAAUACCACUAUUGUCCUGGAAAAAGCGUUUUUAAGCAAUAUUUGUUAUUCAACAAAUUUGAUGAACCUCCCAAGUAACGCUGACCAAGAUUGUUGAUUGUUUUUGUGCCAGCCUGCUUUUGACAGAAAAAUUGGGUGUAAUAUUAAAUUGCUGUCAGCUCUGAACGUUGGUCAGAAAACAUCGCAGGUAUAAAAAAAAAUUCUCAAUGUCUUAGAAUGUGGUGUUCUGAUUUUAGCUUUGCCAGUGUGGUUCAUUUAAUGGUUACUUUACCUGUAAAGCGAUGUCUCAGCACCAGAAUUUGCACGCUGCUAUCUUUCCGCUUACAUUUUGCUUGGCAAAUGAAAUCGCUUUGGAAGCCAAACUCAACUACUGGACGAGUUUGUUGACAUUUUUCCUGAUUUAUCUGGGAUGCUGUGUCUCGAGUAGUCUUCCCUCUCACUCUCUGUGUGCAGGGGGCGUGGCACUCCACGCGACACAGAGAAAGUGCAGCACCCGGUUUCUGUGUUUCACAUUGAUCAGUUGUACUAGCUUGGUAUCAACCAGCCUUGAUAAAGAAAAAAUUCAAGUCCGCCCUGUCUGACGCCUUCGAUUUGAGGGGAGACCAACCCUAAAAGGUGGUCUCGAGACCAAGACUGAUCUCUAUAAAUACACAAGAAAUAAUUAAACUAAAAAGAGCAUGUCUGAUACUAAAUAAGUAAACCGCUGAGUAUAAAUUGAGAUCAAUAACAUGACAACAUUUAGUGUGAAUACUUUUGGUUGUGUGCUGUGCCACAAGACUCUUCUUGUUCUUCUGGGUUCGAACCACUGGAUGAGGAACAGUAAUAAUCCAAUUUAGGUGACAAUAGGAAGUGCAUUCCAGAGUCAAGCAAGCACAUCACUAUUUCCCCCACAGAGCUUCGAGGCAUUGGAGCAAAGAAGAAUUUGAGCCUUUGUCAUGGACCACAAGGAACAUUCAUCAGCAAUUGUAAUGAGUGGACCUGAUGGCCAGUAGGCGUGCUCUAAUUGAGAGACCUGAAAGGUUGAUGCUUUUCCAUCACAAAUCACAGGGGCUCAUCCAAUCAAAUGUAAAACAGAGGUUGCUGAAAGAUUGGGGGGGGGGGGGGGCAGCCUCGAGACGCAUGUGGUACACUCAGUUACGCAAUGUUUUCACAUUACGUAUUGUUAAAAAGAAAAUAAUUCAGAGGUCAGGCUGCGCCCUUACCGGAAGAGUCAGUCCGAGAAUCGGAGCCAGAUGACGCUGUUUUCCUGCAGCUAAUGGUCGGGUAGGCGAGAACAUCCUCAGGGUCAACAAAGUCCGCAGCCGAGAAGCCGAAUGAUCUGCUUGGCUUCGCGAGGCUCUGCGAACCAGGGCGAGCUGCUGGGGGCUGAGGCGGAGCCGACUGCUUGCCGUGCAUUACCUUCUCCAGCGCUUUGCUGGUUGAGAAACUACUCCACAUGCAGUCCUGGAUGAUGAUGGAGCUGAUGUUGGGGACCGGCCUCUGAAUCUCGCACUCGUCUUCCUGAGCCAGGACUCUGGAUAACCAGCCCACGUUGCAGUCCCCGCUCUCCAGAGUCUGGGGGGGAGACGUGGGAGGGGAGGGCAGCAGCUCGAACUUUUUCCAAAUGUCCUCGCUUGGAGCGCAUGAAUUGUAGAAAUCCUCUUCGGUAUCAAAGUCAUUGAAAAAAUAGUGCUGGUAACAGUCGUACUCCAUUGUUAGGCUGGUGAUAAAACAAAGCAAAAAUACAAUUCCUCUUUGAUUUUAGUCCUUUGAACCUGAAGGAAACAUUGCAGGAAGUUAACCGCUUUGAAUUUCCAAUUGAUUGUUACGGUGACGCCGCGAAACAUGAGCAUAAUGCGCUAAAUACUCGAAAUAAAUUUCCGCGGUAACUACAUUUAACUGGUAAUGAAGACCGGUCCGUUCAGAACUCGAACACCACAAACAUGCAACGUGCAAAGUUCACUCAACUCGAUCCAAACAAAACUUGCACAAAAGAUCGUGCACAACUCACUGACUCCAAAAAAAUUCAGGUCAAAAACAAAUCCACUGGUAG
Syngnathus typhle (broad-nosed pipefish) is the source of this 3363-nucleotide long non-coding RNA. RefSeq lists it as uncharacterized. NCBI's taxonomy places the organism in Eukaryota, Metazoa, Chordata, Actinopteri, Syngnathiformes, Syngnathidae. The transcript is spliced from 3 exons. The record is from RefSeq and is a predicted model, not a curated record.